UGUCUCUCAAACACUCCUCUCAUUUCUACCAAGUGUAUCAAACACUGCUCUUCUUCUGUCUCUCACAGGUCUGCCUCCCACCUAACCCUUCUCCCUCUCUUCUUCUUGAUUUCAAAUGGGAGUCGAGUGUUCUGUAAAUCCUUCUCAGUACCUUCACUCGCUUCGAUCGAACUCAUUCGAUUUAAGUUUUUCAGAGCUCGAACUUCCUCAUCCAACCCUUCUAGGGUUUUUCGAAUGGCCACCGAGCCUCCUUCUUCAUCCUCAUCAUCACCACCACACUCCGCUUCAGCUUCCUCUAAUGGCGAUUCAUCCUCGGUCCCCGCUUCUUCUGCCAUCGAUUUUCUGUCUCUCUGUCACCGUCUCAAGGUAUUCCUCAUCCAACCCUUCUAUGUAUAUAUGUAUCGAUUCUCUCUCGAAUAUCAUUGCCUAAAUUUGUGAUUUUGUUUUUUGGGUUUGGGGGUUUUUUGGGGUUUGAUCAAACGACGAAGAGAACGGGAUGGGAGCGAAGGGAUGUUGAGAAUCCAGAGUCCAUAGCCGAUCAUAUGUAUCGAAUGGGGUUGAUGGCUCUCAAAUAGGAUAUUUUGUGCCAUGGGAAGCAAAUUUAUGAAUGCUGACCAAUCAACAUUUAUGAUUGAUCUACAUCAAGUUGGAAUGAUGCUAAGAUUCUAAUUCUGUCGGAACUGCUCGCUCCCAUUCUCUUUUUGUCUCGAGUCGAUCACUUCGCUCACUCUUUUCAAACUAAAGCUUUUGCCUUCAUCAGAGCUUUUGCCUUCAUCACUUUGGCUACUCAGCUAUUCACUUCGGCUGCUCGACAUCCUGCUCGGCUGCUCGGUUAGUUUAUUACUUUGAUUCUUAUUGUUUUUCUUUUGUUAUUGCUUUGGUAACGUUUGGCUUUUGCUUUGAUAUUGAGCCAACUGAUAUAUUGCUUUGCUAUUGAGUAAAACUAAAGAAGAAUUCUGCAUAUGAUUUCGGCAAGAAUUCUGCAUAUGAAUUCUGCAGAAUUUUGGCUGAUCAAUCCCUUGGUCUCAAGUGGAACGGCUAUUUGUCCCCAAGGUAUAAACGUUGUUGUAAACUAUGUCAAGUUGUAAUUCAAAUAUUGUUUUGCUAUGUUUUUUUGUCUUCACUAAUAGAAUUCAAGUGUUUUCAGCAACAAUUUCAGUCAAAACACAUCUAUUGCAUUAAGCUCUGUAUUCGUUACAUAAUCUGCGAUCAAGUUGGUUAUUGACUUUGAAUUUUGUAUUCAUUACAUAAUAUGCAUCUAAGUUGGUUGGUCUGAAGCUCACUUUGAAUGUCCAUAUCAUUCUUCUACACAAGUCAGAAUAUACAAUGACAAAAACAAUUAUAGCCUUUUU
Non-coding RNA from Camellia sinensis, 1352 nucleotides. NCBI's taxonomy places the organism in Eukaryota, Viridiplantae, Streptophyta, Magnoliopsida, Ericales, Theaceae. The record is from RefSeq and is a predicted model, not a curated record.